UAUUUUCGUCGGUUUGGGUAUAAGUACAGUAAAUUACAAAAAAAGAAUAAAAUCAAACUUGAUGGUAUAUAUUUAUUAGCUUAAUAGAGCUAAACAUUAUAAUAAACAUACACUUUUUUAGUUUUUUUUUUGUGUGUGUGUGUUAAUUACAUAACAGAUGAUUGCAAGAUCAUCAAUCUGAUAGUGUUAAAUCAGUAUCUAAUUUUAUCAUAUCAAAACAAAACACUUUUUCACGAUUUUAGAUUAUAUCUUUUUGUUGUUUGCUGAUAAUAAUUAAAAAGCAUACACUAUUUAACCUUUUUUGACGACUACAUUGAAAGUAUAUUUUAAAUUAGUAAUAUAUAAACCAAGUUACAAAAAUGAAGUCUCUUUCACGAUAAGACCUCUCUUUUGUGUUUUCUCUUUU
Molecule: long non-coding RNA, 406 nt
Filed under: Capsella rubella
Lineage: Eukaryota; Viridiplantae; Streptophyta; Magnoliopsida; Brassicales; Brassicaceae
Description: long non-coding RNA (CRUB_LNC001754)
Source: RNAcentral